UACGUAGGUGGCAAGCGUUGUCCGGAUUUAUUGGGUUUAAAGGGUGCGUAGGCGGCCCUGUAAGUCAAUGCUGAAAUAUCCCAGCUUAACUGGGAGGGUGGCAUUGAUACUGCGGGGCUAGAGUACAGAUGAGGUAGGCGGAAUUGACGGUGUAGCGGUGAAAUGCUUAGAUAUCGUCAAGAACACCUAUAGCGAAGGCAGCUUACUAGGCUGUAACUGACGCUGAGGCACGAAAGCGUGGGGAGCAAACAGG
This 253-nucleotide ribosomal RNA is filed under the name uncultured bacterium. RNAcentral describes it as "partial 16S ribosomal RNA". It matches the Rfam family "Bacterial small subunit ribosomal RNA", at positions 524 to 776 of the family's 1533-position model. The record is from RNAcentral.